GACGAACGCUGGCGGCGUGCCUAAUACAUGCAAGUAGAACGCACAGUUUAUACCGUAGCUUGCUACACCAUAGACUGUGAGUUGCGAACGGGUGAGUAACGCGUAGGUAACCUGCCUGGUAGCGGGGGAUAACUAUUGGAAACGAUAGCUAAUACCGCAUAAUAUUAAUUAUUGCAUGAUAAUUAAUUGAAAGGUGCAAUUGCACCACUACCAGAUGGACCUGCGUUGUAUUAGCUAGUAGGUGAGGUAACGGCUCACCUAGGCGACGAUACAUAGCCGACCUGAGAGGGUGAUCGGCCACACUGGGACUGAGACACGGGCCAGACUCCUACGGGAGGCAGCAGUAGGGAAUCUUCGGCAAUGGACGAAAGUCUGACCGAACAACGCCGCGUGAGUGAAGAAGGUUUUCGGAUCGUAAAGGUCUGUUGUAAGAGAAGAACGGGUGUGAGAGUGGAAAGUUCACACUGUGACGGUAUCUUACCAGAAAGGGACGGCUAACUACGUG
This 505-nucleotide ribosomal RNA is filed under the name uncultured bacterium. RNAcentral describes it as "partial 16S ribosomal RNA". It matches the Rfam family "Bacterial small subunit ribosomal RNA", at positions 28 to 507 of the family's 1533-position model. The record is from RNAcentral.